RNAcentral lists this ribosomal RNA (495 nucleotides) under uncultured bacterium. Its description in RNAcentral is "partial 16S ribosomal RNA". It matches the Rfam family "Bacterial small subunit ribosomal RNA", at positions 28 to 507 of the family's 1533-position model. The record is from RNAcentral.
GACGAACGCUGGCGGCGUGCCUAAUACAUGCAAGUAGAACGCUGAAGGAGGAGCUUGCUUCUCUGGAUGAGUUGCGAACGGGUGAGUAACGCGUAGGUAACCUGCCUGGUAGCGGGGGAUAACUAUUGGAAACGAUAGCUAAUACCGCAUAAGAGUAGAUGUCGCAUGACAUUUGCUUAAAAGGUGCAAUUGCAUCACUACCAGAUGGACCUGCGCUGUAUUAGCUAGUUGGUGAGGUAACGGCUCACCAAGGCAACGAUACAUAGCCGACCUGAGAGGGUGAUCGGCCACACUGGGACUGAGACACGGCCCAGACUCCUACGGGAGGCAGCAGUAGGGAAUCUUCGGCAAUGGACGGAAGUCUGACCGAGCAACGCCGCGUGAGUGAAGAAGGUUUUCGGAUCGUAAAGCUCGGUUGUAAGAGAAGAACGAGUGUGAGAGUGGAAAGUUCACACUGUGACGGUAUCUUACCAGAAAGAGACGGCUAACUACGUG